GUGGGGAAUAUUGGACAAUGGGCGCAAGCCUGAUCCAGCCAUGCCGCGUGAGUGAUGAAGGCCUUAGGGUUGUAAAGCUCUUUCAGUGGGGACGAUAAUGACGGUACCCACAGAAGAAGCCCCGGCUAACUUCGUGCCAGCAGCCGCGGUAAUACGAAGGGGGCUAGCGUUGUUCGGAUUUACUGGGCGUAAAGCGCACGUAGGCGGAUCGUUAAGUCGGGGGUGAAAUCCUGGAGCUCAACUCCAGAACUGCCUUCGAUACUGGCGAUCUUGAGUCCGGAAGAGGUGAGUGGAACUCCUAGUGUAGAGGUGGAAUUCGUAGAUAUUAGGAAGAACACCGGUGGCGAAGGCGGCUCACUGGUCCGGUACUGACGCUGAGGUGCGAAAGCGUGGGGAGCAAACAGGAUUAGAAACCCCUGUAGUCC
RNAcentral lists this ribosomal RNA (425 nucleotides) under uncultured bacterium. RNAcentral's name for it is "bacterial SSU rRNA". It matches the Rfam family "Bacterial small subunit ribosomal RNA", at positions 354 to 796 of the family's 1533-position model. The record is from RNAcentral.